RNAcentral lists this ribosomal RNA (490 nucleotides) under uncultured bacterium. RNAcentral describes it as "partial 16S ribosomal RNA". It matches the Rfam family "Bacterial small subunit ribosomal RNA", at positions 30 to 507 of the family's 1533-position model. The record is from RNAcentral.
AUUGAACGCUGGCGGCAGGCCUAACACAUGCAAGUUGAACGGUAACAGGAAGAAGCUUGCUUCUUUGCUGACGAGUGGCGGACGGGUGAGUAAUGUCUGGGAAACUGCCUGAUGGAGGGGGAUAACUACUGGAAACGGUAGCUAAUACCGCAUAACGUCGCAAGACCAAAGAGGGGGACCUUCGGGCCUCUUGCCAUCGGAUGUGCCCAGAUGGGAUUAGCUAGUAGGUGGGGUAACGGCUCACCUAGGCGACGAUCCCUAGCUGGUCUGAGAGGAUGACCAGCCACACUGGAACUGAGACACGGUCCAGGCUCCUACGGGAGGCAGCAGUGGGGAAUAUUGCACAAUGGGCGCAAGCCUGAUGCAGCCAUGCCGCGUGUAUGAAGAAGGCCUUCGGGUUGUAAAGUACUUUCAGCGGGGAGGAAGGGAGUAAAGUUAAUACCUUUACUCAUUGACGUUACCCGCAGAAGAAGCACCGGCUAACUCCGUG